RNAcentral lists this ribosomal RNA (439 nucleotides) under uncultured bacterium. RNAcentral's name for it is "partial 16S ribosomal RNA". It matches the Rfam family "Bacterial small subunit ribosomal RNA", at positions 339 to 795 of the family's 1533-position model. The record is from RNAcentral.
CUACGGGUGGCACCAGUGAGGAAUAUUGCACGAUGGGGGGAACCCUGAUGCAGCAACGCCGCGUGGAGGAUGACGCAUUUCGGUGUGUAAACUCCUUCUAUAUGUCAAGAAAAUGACGGUAGCAUAUGAAUAAGCACCGGCUAACUCCGUGCCAGCAGCCGCGGUAAUACGGAGGGUGCAAGCGUUACUCGGAAUCACUGGGCGUAAAGGACGCGUAGGCGGGUUGGAAAGUCAGGUGUGAAAUCCUACAGCUUAACUGUAGAACUGCACUUGAAACUUCUAAUCUAGAGUAUGGGAGGGGGAGAUGGAAUUAGUGGUGUAGGGGUAAAAUCCGUAGAUAUCACUAGGAAUACCUAAAGCGAAGGCGAUCUCCUGGAACAUUACUGACGCUAAGGCGUGAAAGCGUGGGGAGCAAACAGGAUUAGAUACCCCAGUAGUC